This 429-nucleotide ribosomal RNA is filed under the name Gemmatimonadota bacterium. RNAcentral describes it as "Gemmatimonadetes bacterium partial 16S ribosomal RNA". It matches the Rfam family "Bacterial small subunit ribosomal RNA", at positions 355 to 776 of the family's 1533-position model. Lineage: Bacteria; Pseudomonadati; Gemmatimonadota. The record is from RNAcentral.
UAGGGAAUCUUCGGCAAUGGACGAAAGUCUGACCGAGCAACGCCGCGUGAGUGAAGAAGGUUUUCGGAUCGUAAAACUCUGUUGUUAGAGAAGAACAAGGACGUUAGUAACUGAACGUCCCCUGACGGUAUCUAACCAGAAAGCCACGGCUAACUACGUGCCAGCAGCCGCGGUAAUACGUAGGUGGCAAGCGUUGUCCGGAUUUAUUGGGCGUAAAGCGAGCGCAGGCGGUUUCUUAAGUCUGAUGUGAAAGCCCCCGGCUCAACCGGGGAGGGUCAUUGGAAACUGGGGAACUUGGGUGCAGAAGAGGAGAGUGGAAUUCCAUGUGUAGCGGUGAAAUGCGUAGAUAUAUGGAGAAACACCAGUGGCGAAGGCGGCUCUCUGGUCUGUAACUGACGCUGAGGCUCGAAAGCGUGGGGAGCAAACAGG